CGGACGGGUGAGUAACGCGUGAGAAUCUGCCCUCAGGAGGGGGAUAACGGCUGGAAACGGCCGCUAAUACCCCAUAUGCCGCGAGGUGAAAUGAGAAAUCGCCUGAGGAUGAGCUCGCGUCUGAUUAGCUAGUUGGUGGGGUAAGAGCCUACCAAGGCAUCGAUCAGUAGCUGGUCUGAGAGGAUGAUCAGCCACACUGGGACUGAGACACGGCCCAGACUCCUACGGGAGGCAGCAGUGGGGAAUUUUCCGCAAUGGGCGCAAGCCUGACGGAGCAACGCCGCGUGAGGGAUGAAGGCCUCUGGGCUGUAAACCUCUUUUCUCAAGGAAGAAGAACUGACGGUACUUGAGGAAUAAGCCACGGCUAAUUCCGUGCCAGCAGCCGCGGUAAUACGGGAGUGGCAAGCGUUAUCCGGAAUUAUUGGGCGUAAAGCGUCCGCAGGCGGUCUUGAAAGUCUGUUGUUAAAGCGUGGAGCUCAACUCCAUUUCAGCAAUGGAAACUAGAAGACUAGAGUGUGGUAGGGGCAGAGGGAAUUCCCGGUGUAGCGGUGAAAUGCGUAGAUAUCGGGAAGAACACCAGUGGCGAAGGCGCUCUGCUGGGCCAUAACUGACGCCCAUGGACGAAAGCCAGGGGAGCGAAAGGGAUUAGAUACCCCUGUAGUCCUGGCCGUAAACGAUGAACACUAGGUGUCGGGGGAAUCGACCCCCUCGGUGUCGUAGCCAACGCGUUAAGUGUUCCGCCUGGGGAGUACGCACGCAAGUGUGAAACUCAAAGGAAUUGACGGGGGCCCGCACAAGCGGUGGAGUAUGUGGUUUAAUUCGAUGCAACGCGAAGAACCUUACCAGGGUUUGACAUCCUGCGAAUCUUUUGGAAACAGAAGAGUGCCUUCGGGAGCGCAGAGACAGGUGGUGCAUGGCUGUCGUCAGCUCGUGUCGUGAGAUGUUGGGUUAAGUCCCGCAACGAGCGCAACCCACGUCUUUAGUUGCCAGCAUUGAGUUGGGCACUCUAGAGAGACCGCCGGUGAUAAACCGGAGGAAGGUGUGGAUUGACGUCAAGUCAUCAUGCCCCUUACAUCCUGGGCUACACACGUACUACAAUGCUACGGACAGAGGGCAGCAAACUCGCGAGAGCUAGCAAAUCCCAUAAACCGUGGCUCAGUUCAGAUCGUAGGCUGCAACUCGCCUACGUGAAGGAGGAAUCGCUAGUAAUCGCAGGUCAGCAUACUGCGGUGAAUACGUUCCCGGGCCUUGUACACACCGCCCGUCACACCAUGGAAGUUGGCCAUGCCCGAAGUCGUUACUCCAACCCUUGUGGAGGAGGACGCCGAAGGUGGGGCUGAUGACUGGGGUGAAGUCGUAACAAGGUAACCGUA
Molecule: ribosomal RNA, 1373 nt
Filed under: Cyanobium sp. LEGE 06098
Lineage: Bacteria; Bacillati; Cyanobacteriota; Cyanophyceae; Synechococcales; Prochlorococcaceae
Description: bacterial SSU rRNA
Rfam family: Bacterial small subunit ribosomal RNA
Source: RNAcentral